UACACACUGCCCCGUCACGCCAUGGGAGUUGGUUCUACCUGAAGGUGGUGAGCUAACGCAAGAGGCAGCCAACCACGGUAAAAUUAGCGACUGGGGUG
This 98-nucleotide ribosomal RNA is filed under the name uncultured bacterium. RNAcentral describes it as "partial 16S ribosomal RNA". The record is from RNAcentral.